Molecule: unclassified non-coding RNA, 241 nt
Filed under: plant metagenome
Description: partial contains small subunit ribosomal RNA, internal transcribed spacer 1, and 5.8S ribosomal RNA
Source: RNAcentral
UUUCCGUAGGUGAACCUGCGGAAGGAUCAUUACCGAGUUAGGGUCUCUCAGGCCCGACCUCCAACCCUGUGUUUUUGUGACCUUGUUGCUUUGGUGGGCCCGCUGCGAUGAGGGGCCGCCGGAAACUCACCGCUUUGGGCCCGUGCCCGUCAGUAGCCCCCUUAAAUUCUUAAUAAACCUGUCGUCUGGGUUAAUGGAUAUACUGAAAAAAAAACAUUCAACAACGGAUCUCUUGGUUCUG